GCGCCCGUAACUCAAUUGGAUAGAGCGUCCGGCUACGGACCGGGAGGUUCGGGGUUCGAGUCCCUGCGGGCGUGCCA
Molecule: transfer RNA, 77 nt
Filed under: Actinomycetota bacterium
Lineage: Bacteria; Bacillati; Actinomycetota
Description: tRNA-Arg
Rfam family: tRNA
About the family: Transfer RNA (tRNA) molecules are approximately 80 nucleotides in length. Their secondary structure includes four short double-helical elements and three loops (D, anti-codon, and T loops).
Source: RNAcentral